This 809-nucleotide ribosomal RNA is filed under the name human gut metagenome. RNAcentral describes it as "bacterial SSU rRNA". It matches the Rfam family "Bacterial small subunit ribosomal RNA", at positions 542 to 1355 of the family's 1533-position model. The record is from RNAcentral.
UAUCCGGAUUUAUUGGGUUUAAAGGGUGCGUAGGCGGUUUGAUAAGUUAGAGGUGAAAUUUCGGGGCUCAACCCUGAACGUGCCUCUAAUACUGUUGAGCUAGAGAGUAGUUGCGGUAGGCGGAAUGUAUGGUGUAGCGGUGAAAUGCUUAGAGAUCAUACAGAACACCGAUUGCGAAGGCAGCUUACCAAACUAUAUCUGACGUUGAGGCACGAAAGCGUGGGGAGCAAACAGGAUUAGAUACCCUGGUAGUCCACGCAGUAAACGAUGAUAACUCGUUGUCGGCGAUACACAGUCGGUGACUAAGCGAAAGCGAUAAGUUAUCCACCUGGGGAGUACGUUCGCAAGAAUGAAACUCAAAGGAAUUGACGGGGGCCCGCACAAGCGGAGGAACAUGUGGUUUAAUUCGAUGAUACGCGAGGAACCUUACCCGGGCUUGAAAGUUAGCGACGAUUCUUGAAAGAGGAUUUCCCUUCGGGGCGCGAAACUAGGUGCUGCAUGGUUGUCGUCAGCUCGUGCCGUGAGGUGUCGGGUUAAGUCCCAUAACGAGCGCAACCCCUACCGUUAGUUGCCAUCAGGUGAAGCUGGGCACUCUGGCGGGACUGCCGGUGUAAGCCGAGAGGAAGGUGGGGAUGACGUCAAAUCAGCACGGCCCUUACGUCCGGGGCUACACACGUGUUACAAUGGUAGGUACAGAGGGCAGCUACCCAGCGAUGGGAUGCGAAUCUCGAAAGCCUAUCUCAGUUCGGAUUGGAGGCUGAAACCCGCCUCCAUGAAGUUGGAUUCGCUAGUAAUCGCGCAUCAGCCAU